This 832-nucleotide long non-coding RNA is filed under the name Sorghum bicolor (sorghum). RNAcentral describes it as "long non-coding RNA (SBIC_LNC002141)". The record is from RNAcentral. Lineage: Eukaryota; Viridiplantae; Streptophyta; Magnoliopsida; Poales; Poaceae.
GAUAAUGUGAAGAGAGCAGGGUAAUCGUUGAUCGUAACAAAACCAAUUGCUCUUAGGGUGAAUGAAUCUUUGCGGUGCUUGUCCAAUAUUUGAACACCUGAUUCCCACAAUAUUUUAUGUCCUCCAUUAAGGGCUCCAAAAAAAUCCAUCUCAAGUCCAGGUUGUGUAGGUCCAAAAAUAAGGAUGGUUAGCAAAAGAUACUUUCGCUUAUGCAUCAACCAUGGAGGAAGGUUAUAGAUGGCGAGGAUCACCAGCCAUGUGCUGUGCUUCUACUCCUCUCGGCAAAUGGAUUCAUUCCGUUAGGACUUAGUGUGAACCUAACAUUUUUUGGUUGGUCAGCAAAGUCUUGGUGGUUCUCUUUGAAAUCUUGCCACUGCUUGCCAUUGGCUGGAUGCCUAAGCUUCCCAUUAUUUUUUGUGCUCAUCAGAAGCAUGCCAGCUCAUAAGUUUGGCAUUCUAUGGGUUAGCGAACAAACACCUCAAUCGAUCGACCAUGGGAAGGUACCACAUCACCAAAGCAGGAAUCUUUGCAUAAUAGUCUACCUUUUCUUUUUCUUUGCUGGCUAAACUCUGCUGGUUGUUCUGUUAGGUCUUCUUUUGUUUUUUUCCUUUAGACACGGAGGCAACACAUUCUUCCUCUCUAUAGUCUUUAUUUGUCAUGUACCUACUUGCACCACACUUUGGAUAAUUCUCCAAGUACUUAUAAUCAUCACUGCGACAUAGGCGGUUCACUUAAUGGAACCGCCAAUGUAAAUACACCAUUUACACUGUCGGUUCCGUUAAGUGAACUGUCUGUGUAAAUGGAUUUAAACAUGAGGUUUUUGAGUUGGGCC